This 253-nucleotide ribosomal RNA is filed under the name uncultured bacterium. RNAcentral describes it as "partial 16S ribosomal RNA". It matches the Rfam family "Bacterial small subunit ribosomal RNA", at positions 524 to 776 of the family's 1533-position model. The record is from RNAcentral.
UACGUAGGGGGCGAGCGUUGUCCGGAUUUACUGGGCGUAAAGAGCGCGUAGGCGGUUUGAAGAGUCGGCUGUGAAAUCUCUGGGCCCAACCCAGAGGGGUCGGCCGAGACCUUCGGACUCGAGGGUGGUAGAGGAAGGUGGAAUUCCGGGUGUAGUGGUGAAAUGCGUAGAGAUCCGGAGGAACACCAGUGGCGAAGGCGGCCUUCUGGGCCACACCUGACGCUGAGGCGCGAAAGCGUGGGGAGCGAACCGA